This 253-nucleotide ribosomal RNA is filed under the name uncultured bacterium. RNAcentral describes it as "partial 16S ribosomal RNA". It matches the Rfam family "Bacterial small subunit ribosomal RNA", at positions 524 to 776 of the family's 1533-position model. The record is from RNAcentral.
GACGAACCGUGCGAACGUUGUUCGGAAUAACUGGGCUUAAAGGGUGCGUAGGCGGGUCCGCCAGUCUGGGGUGAAACCCUCCCGCUCAACGGGAGAAAUGCCGUGGAUACUGGGGACCUCGAGGAAGAUAGGGGCGUGAGGAACAGUUGGUGGAGCGGUGAAAUGCGUUGAUAUCAACUGGAACUCCGGUGGCGAAGGCGGCACGCUGGGUCUUUUCUGACGCUGAGGCACGAAAGCUAGGGGAGCAAACGGG